CAAUAGCGUAUAUUAAAGUUGUUGCAGUUAAAAAGCUCGUAGUUGAAUUUCGGGUGCUCGUAGUCGGUCCUUCAUUGGGCUGGCGCGUGUGCUCUCCCCGCCUUUGGCGGCCUUUACUGUGAAAAAAUUAGAGUGUUCAAAGCAGGCAAUCGCUUGAAUACAUUAGCAUGGAAUAAUAAGAUAGGAUCUUGUCUAUUUUGUUGGUUGCGGACAAAGAUAAUGAUUAAUAGGGAUAGUUGGGGGUGUCCGUAUUGAGCUGUCAGAGGUGAAAUUCUUGGAUUUGCUCAAGACGAACUGCUGCGAAAGCGUUCACCAAGGAUGUUUUCAUUA
Molecule: ribosomal RNA, 330 nt
Filed under: uncultured eukaryote
Lineage: Eukaryota
Description: partial 18S ribosomal RNA
Rfam family: Eukaryotic small subunit ribosomal RNA
Source: RNAcentral